GGGGCGCAGUAAGGGUAAGAAAGGACGAGUAUGAACUUGCCGAGAGCCGACUCUUUACACGAUGGAGGGAACGGCACGACGUUCGCGUAGAUUCGUGCAAGACUGAACGGAUCAGGGGAAUCAGAGCGUCAGAGCAGUGAGAAAAGGACUUCGAUCGCGUCAUAAUUUUGGACCACGAAGCGGAUUUUCAACGAAGCGGCAAAUGAAGAACCAAGAUCGACGCGGGCGACGAGCUUGUAAGACGACCGGUUUAGCCGAGAGGAAAAAGUAUCGACCCAGAAAAUCGACCCGGCUUUAACGGUGUAUUCUCGUAAUCAGUUUACUCGAGAUCUGUCGCAGUGUUACGAUAUAUGCUUUACUGUACACACGUGUUUGCGUCGUGCGCAAACGCACGUGAUACGAAAUACGUUAUAUGAAAUCGCGAAUUCGCCGAUGACCCAGUUAUUUUACUAACUACACUUUGAUUAGACAGAGUUUGUGAUUAAAAACAUAAAUUAAAAAAAAAAUUAUAUAUCUUUAAAAAAAACUUCUUUUAAAUGAUAUAGUAAAAAGUAUAAGCAAAGACUAUGCAGAAAUAAGAGUCGCAAUGAAUUAAAAGUCACGUUUUUUUCUUACAAUUAGCAAAAACAUGGCUUUACCUACUUUUAGAAUUAUGUAAUUAAUUCUUAUCCUUUUAAUCAAAACUUUUAUUUAUAUAUUUAAAUUGCACGAAUUCUGAUAAUGUGAGUAAUCAAUAUUCCCGAUAUACGUCAAUCGAAUUUUAUAAUACUUUGCUGAUAUUAUUAAUUUUUUUUUUUGCAACCUGUCUAAAAGCGUUUUCAAAAACCAGUUCUUUAAGCAUAAGCUUCAUGCACACACACAUUUACUCACGAGACAUAAACGCAGGAUUGCCGAGCCGCCGGUAUGUUAAUCUCGCUGCUCUUAAUCUUGGCGAGAUGCGAAAUCCCCGGGUGGCGUAAAUUAAUUGAAGUUAAUUAAGCGAGCAGAGAGCAGAGAACUGCGAUGCGUUUCGCAGAGAUCAUCUUAGAAAAGCCGUUGUCACUUUUCGCCGACGACAAGAGCACGGGCUUUUCCAACGAGAAAAUGUCGAUUUCCCGCGACGGGCAAAAAGAGAGGAGAAGAAAAAAAAUGAAAUUAAUCUCUAAGACAUUUCGUCCCAUUCUCUGUCCAUGUAGUUAAUCCGUGCGCGUACUGGCAGGCGAAACUUCCCUGCAACGAUGUUCUGGAGAUAUCCCCGACGAAUCAGAAACGCAAUUUCGGUUAUCGUCCUUCACGGAAAUUCCUUCGCGUGCACGAACGGAUGCGAACUUUAUGAAAUUUCCUCGGUGGAAAAGCGAUGAUGCUUACACAGAAUUAUAGCUUCCAGCUCGCCCAAGCAAGUAUAAGAGUAAAUAACCGAUCGAUACCUCUUUACUUGAAAAUAUUGAAAUUCGAACAAAAGAAAAUAUUGUACAUAUUACACAU
This is a long non-coding RNA of Formica exsecta, 1464 nucleotides long. RefSeq lists it as uncharacterized. Lineage: Eukaryota; Metazoa; Arthropoda; Insecta; Hymenoptera; Formicidae. The transcript is spliced from 3 exons. The record is from RefSeq and is a predicted model, not a curated record.